Molecule: ribosomal RNA, 120 nt
Filed under: Sphenodon punctatus (tuatara)
Lineage: Eukaryota; Metazoa; Chordata; Lepidosauria; Sphenodontia; Sphenodontidae
Source: RNAcentral
UUAUAUGGAAAUAACUGCUGUCAUGGACCACAAUGAUUCGAUUACAGAAUCUAAUCUAAUCAAGCUAGGCCUAGCUAGUACUUGGAUGGGAGACCUUGAAAAAGGGGGAAUCUGUAACGU